RNAcentral lists this ribosomal RNA (494 nucleotides) under uncultured bacterium. RNAcentral describes it as "partial 16S ribosomal RNA". It matches the Rfam family "Bacterial small subunit ribosomal RNA", at positions 28 to 507 of the family's 1533-position model. The record is from RNAcentral.
GACGAACGCUGGCGGCGCGCUUAACACAUGCAAGUCGAACGGAAAGGCCUGCUUUCCCUUGUGGAUUGCGGGUACUCGAGUGGCUAACGGGUGAGUAACACGUGAGUGAUCUGCCCCCAACUUGGGUAUAAGCCUGGGAAACUGGGUCUAAUUCCCGAUAGGACUGCAGGGUGGUGCCUGUGGUGGAAAACGAUUUUCUAGUGGUUGGGGAUGAGCUCGCGGCCUAUCAGCUUGUUGGUGGGGUAAUGGCCUACCAAGGCGGCGACGGGUAGCCGGCCUGAGAGGAGGGACGGCGACAUGGGGACUGGGUUACGGCCCAGACUCCUAGGGGAGGCAGCAGUGGGGAAUAUUGCACAAUGGGCGGAAGCCUGAUGCAGCGACGCCGCGUGGGGGAUGACGGCCUUCGGGUUGUAAACUCCUUUCGACCGCGAGGAAGCCACCUGGUUGGAAGGGUGGUGACGGUAGUGGUAGAAGAAGCACCGGCUAACUACGUG